AUGCUGUCUGGAGUGGCCUUGGAAACCAAAUCAAAAAGAGACUUUAGAGUAGUGGCGCCAUACUCACCUCUUCUUCCUCAAAAUCGUUGGAAGACAUCCACCACCGAUAACCUCUUCGUCUUCCACGAAAACUCAACCUCUUCGUCUUCCUUACAACGGCGCCCUACUCACCUCUUCUUCCUCAAAAUCGUUAGAAGACAUCCAUCGCCGAUAAUGUUGCCAUCAUACUCUGAUCUUCAUAUCACUUGGUUCGUCUGUUCAAGCUUCCACAGUAACGCAGCUUCACCAUUCAAUAUCAUCUCAGAUUCGAAUCCUGUCCUUCUUCAAGCUCCUUCUCAGCACAACCAUCAAUUUCAAGCCCCAAAGCUUCACCUUUAG
Non-coding RNA from Vicia faba (fava bean), 378 nucleotides. The record is from the annotation of a GenBank genome assembly. NCBI's taxonomy places the organism in Eukaryota, Viridiplantae, Streptophyta, Magnoliopsida, Fabales, Fabaceae.